RNAcentral lists this long non-coding RNA (203 nucleotides) under Ananas comosus (pineapple). RNAcentral's name for it is "long non-coding RNA (ACOM_LNC005486)". The record is from RNAcentral. Lineage: Eukaryota; Viridiplantae; Streptophyta; Magnoliopsida; Poales; Bromeliaceae.
CCAUUAACUCUAACUUGUCAUUUCACAUUAAUGCUGUCAUCAUCAUCAAAAAUCUUUUCGACGGUAAAAUCUUUCUUCUUCUGCAACAUCUUUUCAACCUUAGGUUUUCGAGUUUUCUUUCUUUCUCUUCCCUUAAACUCUUUGAUCCAUCAUUUUCCUUCUUAAUGGCUCCCUCUCAGAUUCCUUCGUUUUUCCAAACUUCU